Molecule: non-coding RNA, 2587 nt
Organism: Equus caballus (horse)
Lineage: Eukaryota; Metazoa; Chordata; Mammalia; Perissodactyla; Equidae
Source: RefSeq, a predicted model, not a curated record
UAUUAAAAAUUUAUCACCAUGGAAGAUAUGAAUGCUAGAAUCCCAAAAAUGUGGUGUUUCAAAAUAACACUCUUUAACAAACAUAUUUCUCUUCAGUGAAGUUUUUAUAACAAGAAACAUCACUGAAGCUUUAGGCUUCCCUUUGAGCUCAACGCAGCUGCCAUUAGGCUCACUGGUUAUGGUUCUUCCCAUAGUUAAAAGUGAUAUUGAUUUUUAGGCUUUUCAGAACUUAGAAUUUCAAUUCCAGGAAACUUUGUCCAUUUUAGGACCAUAAGAUUUGUUACAUUGUAUAUUAAAGAUGAAGGGGUGGGCUCUAUGCUCUCUCAGUAGGUAAGUUAAUUCGAAGGGCCCCCUGGGAUUCCUCUUCAUCAAGGGGUGUUCCACGCCUAGUGUUGUGUCGUAUAUAUUCAUCUCCAAUCGGAUCAACAUCCUUGGAAAACAAGUUUAAGAACAAUUUUAUCGUGAUUGCACCAAGAAUCAACCUGGCUAGAGAAUUUUAGCUCAGACAGGUGAAUAUUAAAGUGACUUUUUUUCUAUUAAUUCUUUUUUCUAUCACCACUUAUGUUUGUCUCUUUUCUUUUUUGGAAAUCCUGGAAUGGCCCUGAAUCUUAGUAGUGUAGGUGAUUAUUUUUCACACAUUUGAACCAUGGUCUGUAAGAAAUACAUUUUGCAUCAUGAACAGUGCACACAUAAAUUUGUGAAUGUGGCUUGAUAUAGAAAUAGGAGGAAAUAUAAAGUAAAAAAGCCUUCAUAAAACAAUACUUACUCUCACAAUAUGUUACAAAAUAUUUUCUGUCAUAUACUAUUCUAUUUCAUGUUUUUAAAGUGCUGGUUAAUACCUAAUGCACUGACAAGGUAUAUUCUGCAGUUUUAAAAACAUUGAUUGAGACUAAGCCUAUCCCAAGAUGUGGAAAUACAACACGACCAAGGGGCAUGACUAUGGAUAACUGUUUUCUACCUUUGCAGGCAGACCAACUGGUAAGAUGUGUGGGAACCAUUAGAAGACUCUUCAGGUGGAGAUGGAUAGCAUGGAAGAUACAAGUUCACUGAGCUGUAAUACACUGGGCACUGUUUCUGAUGUUGGUAAUACAGCAAAGAAGAUAUCAGUUUAGUGAAGAAGAUAGACAAAUACGCGGAACAAAGCACGGCGUAAACAUUGUGGGCAUUUUGAACGGGAAAGAAUUUCCUGCAGAUGCGAAGGAAACAUGUCUUCCAGAUGGCAUAACGGCUUGAGCUGAAUAGUGAUUUUCAAAUGUUAGUGUACACAGGAAUCACCAAGACAGUUAGUUUAAAAUUCAGUAAAUUGGGGAUUGGCUCCAAGCAUCUGCAUUUUGAAUUAGCAGCCCACAUUAUUUUUAUGAACAUUAAAGAUUUUGAAAAUCACUGUUAGAAAUCCUGAGACAAGACUGUAUCUGUUCAUAUCUACACAUUUAAGGGAAAGACCUUUGAAAGCCUUUUGUUUCAUCCUUUGGGAGGACUUAAGGUAUAUCAGCUAAGGUGUAUUAGUUAUCAUGUAAUAGUUCUUUGAUCUUUUAUCACACGUCAGAUAAAGAGGACAGAACAAUGUCCCAAAGUAAGGACAGGAACUUUCAUAUCCAUAUCCCUGCCUCUGCUCUUCCUCCAUGGAUGUUCCAAAAAGACCCAGGGAUUUCAGGAAGAAGAGAGACUUAGACUCUAGGUGGCUGCAGGGGUUAAAUAUAGGGAAAGGGAUAUGGUACACUCCUUCCAGAAUCAAGAACGCCUAGGUUCCAGAUCCUGGCACUGUUUUCUCUUGUUAGAGCUGUUUUCAUCCUGACUUGUUGGAACUAAUUGCUUUGACUCUGGUCUCAUUCCACUCUAAUUCAUCCAACACUGCUGUCAGAGAUUCCUUGAGAUACAUGAUUUUGAUCACACCUCUUUUAUGCUUAAGAUAUCCUCUUUUUGAGACCUAGCCCAAAAUCACUUUCAAAGAUGCCUACAAACAAACUCAUCACUCCCAAGCACUUCAUUUUUUAGGUUACCUCCACACUUCCAUGUAAAGUGUAUACUGCAUGACCAUUCUGCCACGGGUAUUCCACUAGAUUCUUAUAUGUAGGUCAUAUCUUCCAGCUAAGCCCAGAGAUUUUCAAUGAAACCUUUCGUUUUUCUCCUGUGUAUUUGAUAAACUUCUGUUGCUUAUUUAAGAAUCUCUGUGCACUAGUUUGGUUCUGUGAACACAGCAGGAAGAAAGUCAAAGUGAAUCACCUCAAGCAUAGCAGUCAUAGACUGAAUGCUGAUAGGCAGUUGAUUCAUACUAGUUUGGUUAUUCCUGUUAUUAAUAGCCACUGCCCUGAGCCUCUGCAUACCUCCAUGCCAGCCAGACUGCCCAGAGACUCUCUUUCACGUCCUCGUGAUCCAGCAAGUUAACAUUAACUCCUCACCUCAGAGGGGGUCUCACAGACCCUAGUCUAGCUCUGUGGCCCAUGUCCAUACUGAUACAUCAACAAUUGGGUCAUGUCAAUUUUUAACGUUCUAAUUAUUAUCCCUAGACAGCCACAGGGUCAUAUCUUCUGUGAAUACAAACAAUUUUAUUUCAUCUUUUCUAAUCUGUACACAGGUUAUUUUUUUU